AAUUGAGACAGGUGGUGCAUGGUUGUCGUCAGCUCGUGUCGUGAGAUGUUGGGUUAAGUCCCGCAACGAGCGCAACCCUUGUGUUUAGUUGCAAACAGGUCAAGCUGUGCACUCUAGACAGACUGCCGUGGACAACACGGAGGAAGGUGGGGAUGACGUCAAAUCAUCAUGCCCCUUAUGAUCUGGGCUACACACGUGCUACAAUGGCCGGUACAACGGGCAGCGAAGGAGCGAUCCGGAGCGAAUCCUAAAAAGCCGGUCCCAGUUCGGAUUGCAGGCUGAAACUCGCCUACAUGAAGUUGGAGUUGCUAGUAAUCGCGAAUCAGAAUGUCGCGGUGAAUGCGUUCCCGGGCCUU
This 356-nucleotide ribosomal RNA is filed under the name uncultured Fusibacter sp. Its description in RNAcentral is "bacterial SSU rRNA". It matches the Rfam family "Bacterial small subunit ribosomal RNA", at positions 1027 to 1382 of the family's 1533-position model. The record is from RNAcentral. Lineage: Bacteria; Bacillati; Bacillota; Clostridia; Eubacteriales; Fusibacteraceae.